Molecule: ribosomal RNA, 449 nt
Filed under: uncultured bacterium
Lineage: Bacteria
Description: partial 16S ribosomal RNA
Rfam family: Bacterial small subunit ribosomal RNA
Source: RNAcentral
AACGAACGCUGGCGGCAGGCUUAACACAUGCAAGUCGAGCGCAUCCUUCGGGGUGAGCGGCAGACGGGUGAGUAACGCGUGGGAACGUACCCUUUCCUACGGAAUAGCUCCGGGAAACUGGAAUUAAUACCGUAUACGCCCUUAGGGGGAAAGAUUUAUCGGGGAAGGAUCGGCCCGCGUUGGAUUAGCUAGUUGGUGGGGUAAAGGCCUACCAAGGCGACGAUCCAUAGCUGGUCUGAGAGGAUGAUCAGCCACAUUGGGACUGAGACACGGCCCAAACUCCUACGGGAGGCAGCGGUGGGGAAUAUUGGACAAUGGGCGCAAGCCUGAUCCAGCCAUGCCGCGUGGGUGAUGAAGGCCUUAGGGUUGUAAAGCUCUUUCAGUAGGGAAGAUAAUGACGGUACCUACAGAAGAAGCCCCGGCUAACUUCGUGCCAGCAGCCGCGGUAA